CCCAUUCCCCCUACAUCCACACACGCACACACUCACUCACACACAAUCACACACACACACACACACAAACACACUCACACACAAAUACACCAUCCUCAUCACCCCCCUACAGGUCCACCGAAAGCUGACACACUUUGUUCAGGCUGGGAGGCCGAGAGCUGCCGGGCCGCGACAUGUGAGAAGAGCUCGACCCCUUGACCCUCACAGCUCUCUACCAUCGAACCCUCUUGAAGUGACGUAGUGACCGCGACCUGCCGCCCUCCUGCCUCGGGCAUGCCUCAGCCGGGUAUGAAUGGGAUGGAGCCCGUGUUUGGCGAGGCCUACGGGGGUCACAGGGGCCUGCUGAGCCCUUACCCCCUGGCCAUGUCGCCACAAGGGGGCAGGACCGAGUACGACCAGAGCGUCCUCCUCAUGCUCGGCUCCCCGGCAUCGCCACGGAAACGGCCCUUUGAGUUGCUAAGCGACCUGGUGGACGACGGGGGCUGCGGGGAGG
This is a long non-coding RNA of Pleuronectes platessa (European plaice), 493 nucleotides long. RefSeq lists it as uncharacterized. The transcript is spliced from 5 exons. The record is from RefSeq and is a predicted model, not a curated record. NCBI's taxonomy places the organism in Eukaryota, Metazoa, Chordata, Actinopteri, Pleuronectiformes, Pleuronectidae.